Molecule: long non-coding RNA, 2379 nt
Filed under: Piliocolobus tephrosceles (Ugandan red Colobus)
Lineage: Eukaryota; Metazoa; Chordata; Mammalia; Primates; Cercopithecidae
Description: lncRNA (ENSPTEG00000012835.1)
Source: RNAcentral
UAUUUAUGUUUAAGUCUACAGAAUAAUGAAAUAUUUAUAUACAAAGUAAAAUAUAAAAAUAAAAAUAAAAAUAGAUAUACCAAAAAUGACAGUAUAACAAAUGAUAUAAAUACGACCUCCCAAAACAAACCCACACAUCAAAACAAUAAAAAAGUUGAAAUAAAAAACGAAAAUGACACAACUAAUCCGUCAUUAUAUCAUCAGCAUAUAUCAAUAAAACAUGAAUCUAAAAGUUCAUUUAUAGAAAAUGAUGUUCGCAACAAUAAUAAUAAUUAUAAUAAUUCUAAUAAUUAUGUAACAAAUGCAAUUAAAAAAAAAGAAAAAAAUAAUAAAUACAGCAAAGAAAAAUCAUUAAAAAAAAUACAUAUUAAAAAAUUAUUUGAUAGUGUAAAUUGUAAUUAUCACUUCGACAAAAUUGAGUUUAUAAAAUUAAACGGUUAUGAUGAAAAAAUGUAUAAUACGAUGAAGAAUAUUAUAGAGCAAACGUCGAAUGAAAAAGACCAAACAGUAACAAACAAUAUGAAAAAAAAUGUGACAACAGAUGAGGCAAGAAAUGUGAUAGAAAAUAAUAUAACAUUAGACAUACAUGAAAAAAAAAAACUAGAAGAUGUAAUAAAAACAAAUAUUAACUGUGAUAUAAACGCCAAUAAACAUAGUUCUCAUUUUUACAAUAGUUUUAAAAACCAAUAUUACUCCAAAAACGAUAAUGUUGUUUAUGUAAAAAAUAAUAAUAAAGUAGGUGUUGUCAAUUGUCCAAAGUGUUUUGAAAAAAACUGUGAAAAAAAUGAUGAACGUAUAGACGAACAUAUAGACGAACAUAUAGACGAACAUAUAGACGAACAUAUAGACGAAUGUAUAGACGAACACAUAAAGGAACGUAAUGAAGAUAAUGAUAAUAAUAAUAUAAAUGUUUUAUUUAUGUAUUUUCGGGAACCGACUACUAUAUUUAUGAAUAACUUUGUUACGGUUAAUAAAGGAACAAAGCAAAAUUUUAUAAAUGAGAUAAUAGGGUUUUCAAAUAAUCAAAAAUAUGAUAAUAUAGAAAAAGAAUAUUCAAAAGUAAAAAGAAAAAAUAAUUUAAGAUCAUUAUUGCGAAAAAUGGAAAAUUCCCAAUUGUCAUGUACCAUAUUUGAAAAUUAUGAAAGUGACAUCAGCAUACGUAGUAACGACUUAUUCUUUAGUGAUGCUGAAGUUAUAACCAACAAUAACGAAUCGGACACGCUUUUUAACCAAACAAACAUGCUUUAUAGUAAGCCCAAUACGAAAAGGGACCAUUGUUUAUACAAAAGAAAUGACUUAAAAAUAAAAUGGCUAUUAUUAAAUUUGAAUUUAAAAAAAGAAGAAGAACAGAUAAUACAAAAUUAUGUAAUGUCUAAAAAAACAAAUGAUUUAAAAUUAUAUAAAACACCUGUUAAUCAAAAUAAGUAUAAUAAUAGUUAUAAUAGUAAUUUAAAAAAUAAUUUAUUAUCAAAACGGGUGGAAUAUAAUCAUAUGAAAAUAGAAAAUGAGGAAUCAGGCAAAGAAAAAAACUAUUUUAAUAAGUAUAACCAGCAUUACUUAGGUAUAAGUGGCAAUGACAAUGACAAUGGUAAUGACAAUGGCAAUGGUAAUGACAAUGGCAAUGACAAUGAUAAUGACAAUGGUAAUGGCAGUGGUAAUGACAAUGGUAAUGGCAGUGGUAAUGACAAUGGUAAUGGCAGUGGUAAUGACAAUGGUAAUGACAAUGGCAAUGAUAAUGACAAUGACAAUGAUAAUGGCAAUGACAAUGAUAAUGGCAAUGAUAAUGGUAAUGGCAGUGGUAAUGACAAUGGCAAUGAUAAUGGUAAUGAUAAUGACAACCACCAUGACAGUCGCAAUGAUAACUAUGGUUACUGUAACAAUGACAACUAUUGUGACAAUCGCAAUGACAUACAUAAAAAUCAACAGCGCAUCCCCUGUACUGAUUUUCAUAUUGAAAGUCAAGAUAGUAAUAAUAAUAAUAAUAGUAACAAUAAUAAUAAUAAUAAUAGUAACAAUAAUAAUAAUAAUAAUAGUAACAAUAAUAAUAAUAAUAAUAGUAACAAUAAUAAUAAUAAUAGUAACAAUAAUAAUAAUAAUAGUAAUAGUAAUAAUAAUAAUAAUAUUAAAAAUACAAACAGCAACAACAUACUAAACUAUGCAUAUUCAAACAAAAUAAAUAAUGCACAAACAUCAGACGAUAAAAAAAAAAGUUAUGAUGAUAAUAAUUUAAUUUUUAAAUUUCAAAUUAAAACAAAUAAAACCUUAUCCAAAAUAUCCAGCAAAAACAAAAACGUAAAAAGAGAAUUAAAUAAAGAAACAAUAUACAUCAGCCAAAAUCAAAAUGAUAUUAGGACAGUUAAUUCCGGAUUUGUUAUUUUG